Molecule: unclassified non-coding RNA, 1413 nt
Filed under: uncultured Neocallimastigales
Lineage: Eukaryota; Fungi; Neocallimastigomycota; Neocallimastigomycetes; Neocallimastigales
Description: partial contains small subunit ribosomal RNA, internal transcribed spacer 1, 5.8S ribosomal RNA, internal transcribed spacer 2, and large subunit ribosomal RNA
Rfam family: Eukaryotic large subunit ribosomal RNA (bases 658-1413)
Source: RNAcentral
UUUCCGUAGGUGAACCUGCGGAAGGAUCAUUAAAAAUUGGACUCCAUUGGUGAGUUCAUUAAUAAUCCCUACCCUUUGUGAAUUUGUUUGUUUGAAUAAUUUUUUUUCCAAAAAAAAUUAUUGAAUGUCUUUCCUUGUUUUGGUGGAGCUUGUAAAGUGAAACCAGGCAGGGGAAUGGCAAACAAUAAUUAUUUUUGAAAAAGACCUUUUUUUAAAAUUAAACUUUUUGUAUUCAUUUGUCUAAAAUUAAUUUUUAUAAUAUAAAAACAACUUUUGACAAUGGAUCUCUUGGUUCUCGCAACGAUGAAGAACGCAGCAAAAUGCGAUAAGUAGUGUGAAUUGCAGAAUACGUGAAUCAUCGAAUCUUCGAACGCAUAUUGCACUUUUUUAGUUUACUAAAAAAGUAUGUCUGUUUGAGUAUCAGUAAAAUAUUCUCAUAAAAAACAUUGUUUUUUUUAUGGUUAUGAGUGUUUUACAACGAUAACAAGUUGUUUCACUUUAAAUUCUUUGUUAUCAAAAAAUCAUUAAAAGCUAAUUUUAAAGAUUUUUUAAAAUUGGAUAAAAUUUCCCGUAAAAAGGAAUAACCUAAACAAUUUUAAAAAAUUAAAAUUGGUUUGAUUUUUUUUGAAACCCAAAGGAAAAAAAACGAAAUUAACUUGAUCUCAAAUCAGAUAAGAGUACCCGCUGAACUUAAGCAUAUCAAUAAGCGGAGGAAAAGAAACUAACUAGGAUUCCUCAGUAACGGCGAGUGAAGCGGGAAGAGCUCAAAUUUGAAAUCUUCAAGGUUUUACCUUGACGAAUUGUAGUUUAAAGAAGUGUUUUCUGUUGGAGUUUUGGUAAAAGUUCUUUGGAAAAGGACAUCAUAGAGGGUGAGAAUCCCGUAUUUGACCAUUAUCUCCAGCUUUGUGAUACACUUUCAAAGAGUCGGAUUGUUUGGGAAUGCAGUCCAAAAUGGGUGGUAAAUUUCAUCUAAAGCUAAAUACUGGCGAGAGACCGAUAGCGAACAAGUACCGUGAGGGAAAGAUGAAAAGAACUUUGAAAAGAGAGUUAAACAGUACGUGAAAUUGUCAAAAGGGAAGCGUUUGACACCAGUGUUGUUUUCUCGAAAAUCAAUUAAAAAAGGCCGGAUUUUGUGUUGUAUUGACUUUAUCAGCUUUCUGCACUCUUUUCUUGUCUUUUUUAAUGCACUUUUCGUUUAACAAGUCAACAUCAAUUUCUUUUGUUGUAAAAGGGUCAUUGGAAGGUGGCUUUCUUUUCGGAGAAAGUGUUUAUAGCCUUUGGCCUCUGCAAUCGGAGAGAUUGAGGUCUGCAGCGUAGAUCCUUCGGGUUAGAUACAUUUGUGCUAAGUUAUAGCCUUUCAUAGACAACUUGUUGACUAUGAUCAGUCAUGUAGCUUACUCGCUUAUGCUAUUU